GUUACCCUCUCGCUGUGUUACAUGUACUCGGACUCCAAUAAAUGCUCAUUGCCACAGGAACUUGUGUGAUCUCUUGCGCAUACACUAGGUGCCAAUAACAUUUACGUUGCGUCAGAAGACAGCAGAUACAAACAAUUGCCUUUGAGUACGUUUUUUUUCUGGGCCGCUUAUUUUCAUUUUUCGGCGGACCUGAUGCUACGCUAUCUGGCUAGCCGAGCCAAGGACAUCGUUAAUCUUUUGCCGAGUCAUGUCGAAGGGUUUUCGCAGCCCGGACCCCAUCGUUUUUGCCGAAUAUGUUGCAGAAAGCUGGAGUGUUUUUGAAUUUGAGUACUACAUUUUUAUUGCUUCAGCACACUCGGAAAAGCCCACAAAGACAUACAUUCUCCUUAACCUGGCUGGCUCUGAAGCCAUCGACCGCGAACGCUCAUUCGUGUAUGCGGCUGAAGUGCGCGAGCCCGGGAAUAAUGGAGCGAUCCUCACCCCGGCGGAGUCCAGAGAGGAAAUUCAGGGAAAUGUGAAAUUCCCAAAGCAACAGGACAAUGGACACGUACAGAUUUUAUUCAUGGAAUCAAAGACAAGCUCUUCCUGUAUGACUUGGAUAAACUGGGCAGUGCGGUCCUUUGCUUGCACGUUGGUGAAGCCAGCGUUCUGAAUGAACUGCAACAUCGGACACGGGACAAAACACGGGUAACAGAAGCAGUGAGGUGCCCUACGAUUGACAGCGACCAGUUGAGUUCAUAAUUUAAUAAUGGAGACAUCUCCACUCCCCAGACCAACCAUUGCAUGCUCACCCUAUGCCAGCCCCCAGUUCCAGCACUCUAUAUCCACCCAGAGAGGGCAGCAUGGACAGAAUUUCGGGCAAUUCUUGCUGAGUCAGCUCAAUGGCAGACGAAUCCAGCAUCAUCUCCUGCACUGUGGCCUCCUUGG
This is a long non-coding RNA of Syngnathoides biaculeatus (alligator pipefish), 927 nucleotides long. RefSeq lists it as uncharacterized. The transcript is spliced from 3 exons. The record is from RefSeq and is a predicted model, not a curated record. NCBI's taxonomy places the organism in Eukaryota, Metazoa, Chordata, Actinopteri, Syngnathiformes, Syngnathidae.